Molecule: transfer RNA, 89 nt
Filed under: Acidobacteriota bacterium
Lineage: Bacteria; Pseudomonadati; Acidobacteriota
Also listed under: 1 other name
Description: tRNA-Leu
Rfam family: tRNA
About the family: Transfer RNA (tRNA) molecules are approximately 80 nucleotides in length.
Source: RNAcentral
GCCCGGGUGGCGAAACUGGCAGACGCAACGGACUUAAAAUCCGUUGGCCCGAAAGGGCCGUGCGGGUUCGAGCCCCGCCCCGGGCACCA